RNAcentral lists this ribosomal RNA (260 nucleotides) under uncultured bacterium. Its description in RNAcentral is "partial 16S ribosomal RNA". It matches the Rfam family "Bacterial small subunit ribosomal RNA", at positions 524 to 776 of the family's 1533-position model. The record is from RNAcentral.
UACGUAGGGCAGCGAGCGUUGUUCGGAAUUACUGGGCGGUAAAGAGUGUGUAGGCGGUGCUCUAAGUUCGGUGUGAAAGUCCUCCUGGCUUCAACUGGGAGGGUGCGCCGGAAACUGGAGUGCUUGAGCGUGGGAGAGGAAAGCGGAAUUCCUGGAUGUAGCGGUGAAAUGCGUAGAUAUCGAGGAGGAACACCUGUGGUGUAGACGGCUUUCUGGACCAUAGCUGACGCUGAGACACGAAAGCGUGGGUAGCAAACAGG